This 253-nucleotide ribosomal RNA is filed under the name uncultured bacterium. Its description in RNAcentral is "partial 16S ribosomal RNA". It matches the Rfam family "Bacterial small subunit ribosomal RNA", at positions 524 to 776 of the family's 1533-position model. The record is from RNAcentral.
UACGUAUGGUGCAAGCGUUAUCCGGAUUUACUGGGUGUAAAGGGAGCGCAGGCGGCGCGCCAAGUCUGAUGUGAAACCCCGGGGCUCAACCCCGGGCAUGCAUUGGAAACUGGCGGGCUGGAGUGCCGGAGAGGUAAGCGGAAUUCCUAGUGUAGCGGUGAAAUGCGUAGAUAUUAGGAGGAACACCAGUGGCGAAGGCGGCUUACUGGACGGCAACUGACGCUGAGGCUCGAAAGCGUGGGGAGCAGACAGG